UGGGGAAUAUUGCACAAUGGGCGCAAGCCUGAUGCAGCCAUGCCGCGUGUAUGAAGAAGGCCUUCGGGUUGUAAAGUACUUUCAGCGGGGAGGAAGGGAGUAAAGUUAAUACCUUUGCUCAUUGACGUUACCCGCAGAAGAAGCACCGGCUAACUCCGUGCCAGCAGCCGCGAUAAUACGGAGGGUGCAAGCGUUAAUCGGAAUUACUGGGCGUAAAGCGCACGCAGGCGGUCUGUCAAGUCGGAUGUGAAAUCCCCGGGCUCAACCUGGGAACUGCAUGCGAAACUGGCAGGCUAGAGUCUUGUAGAGGGGGGUAGAAGUCCAGGUGUAGCGGUGAAAUGCGUAGAGAUCUGGAGGAAUACCGGUGGCGAAGGCGGCCCCCUGGACAAAGACUGACGCUCAGGUGCGAAAGCGUGGGGAGCAAACAGG
Molecule: ribosomal RNA, 429 nt
Filed under: Chloroflexota bacterium
Lineage: Bacteria; Bacillati; Chloroflexota
Description: Chloroflexi bacterium partial 16S ribosomal RNA
Rfam family: Bacterial small subunit ribosomal RNA
Source: RNAcentral